GAAGAAAAGAAAUUUAUUGAGCCACAGUUCUGGAGACCAGAAGUCCAAAAUCAAGGUGUCAACAAGGCUGGUUCCUUUUGAGAGCUUAAUUUAGGGAAGGAUCUAUUCCAAGCCUCUUUCUUUGGUUUUGUAAAUGGCCAUCCUCUCCCUUUAUCUCUUCACUUUAUCCUUCCCAUGAGCAUGUCUGUGUCCAAAUUUACCUUUCUUAUGACAACACCAAUCAUAUUGAAUUAGGGCCCACUUUAAUUACCUCAUUUUCACUUGACUAUGUCUGUAAAGAACCUAUUGCCAAACAAAGUCACAAUCUGAGGAACUGGGGGUUAGAACUUCAACAUACAAAUUUUGGGGAACAAAAUUCAACCUAGCAGAUAUGAACAUCUUUAAUAAUUAAGGUUCUAGGCAAAGUUCUGGAAAAAGACUCGCUCUAGUAAAUAUGCUAGCAUAGACAAGUUCCUUGUGUUUUCCAACAGGUCUGCUUCAGAAUCAAUCCUUACAACUUCAAGAACAGGAAAAACUCUUAACAAAGAAAGGUCAGCAAAUUUAAUACCACAAAUUCUAAAAUAUUCCUCUUUCCUUGGCUGCCUAGAGGCAGGGUAUGGGCUACAUAACCUCUUAGCUCCAGUUCUGGGAGUCUGUUAAGUCAGGGAUGUUGGGGAGCUUUUUAAGGACUAAUCAUUGGCUCCGAGUACACCUUAACUAGUUAGCCUUCUAUCCUGAGAGGCAUAUAAGCUGUGAAAAAAGGAUUUCUGCUCUCUCUGAAAACAUGUUUGUGUUGAACAUUUCAAUAAAUUGAUUUUGAACUCAGGAUUUCAUGUCAAUUUUUGCACACUUGAUUUUCCAAAUCACAUCUAACUUCCCAGCUCCAAAUCAUGUAGCAUGCAAGAGUCAACUCAUUCUUAGCCCUAAAUAGUCUGCUUCCCAAGCUUCCUGAGAAUUCCUCAUGUAUCUGGAGGAGGCAAUAACUCCUCACUUAUCCACUACACAUGGCCUUUUGUUUUCUCCUCACAAUCACUGGGUAUAAUAUAAUAGACAAUGCAGAUAUUAUUAUGCCCACUAGUAUGGAUAUGAAAAUGAUGGUCUAUGGUCACCCAAAUUAAGGAUAGAGCUAAGACAACAAUCUAGAACUUCUGACCCCUAGUCCAGUGCUCUUUUCACCAAGACGAAGGCUGCAAGGUGUCUGAAAAACCAUCUUUAACCACACGAAGAUAAAUUUUAGGAUAAUGGUGCUAUUUUCACCACUUUGAAAUGAGGACAUAAGAUUAUAAUGUUGAAGGAUCCAGCAAGCCUACCUGACAAAGUAGAAAGGAUGUGACAUACAACCAAAGAAAUUCAAUGUAUUCACUAAAAGCAUCUGGCCUUAGAAAAGACUGGGGAUACAAAGAAAAGUAAGAUGCCAACACUGCCCUCAAGGAGCUCAAAUUCCAGCUGUCUGUCCAUGCUGAGCAGGGUCCCAAUGGGAAUUCCUGAAGUCAGAGAAUUCCAUUCCACUCAGUCUAGCCAAGGGCAGGCCUUCCCUUCUUCCCUUCCCUCCCCCAACUCCUAGGGUUUCUCACUAAAUGACAGGGCCCUUCCUCAGUGUGCGUGCCUCACUGUCACUGAGAAUCUGGCUGCUUUUUUAGAUAAGGCUUUGCCUGUGUGGAGUCCAAAGCCCUCCCUUAAUGAAGAGGAGCCUGAGGGUACAGGGAAGGAGAAAGACUGGGAUCUCAGAGACCAGCUGCAAAAGAAGACUUUGCAGCUCCAGACCAAGGAAAAGGAGUGCAGAGAACUGCAUUCAGAGUUAGACAACCUCAGUGACGAGUAUCUCUCCUGCCUGCGUAAGCUGCAACACUGUCGAGAAGAGCUGAAGCAGAGCCUACAGCCGCCUCCCAGAGUAAGAGGGUCCAUCCUCCAGUACAGCCCUAGAUAACGGUGGGAUGAUCCCUUCUUCAGCCAAGUCCUGGAGAGAAAAUUUAUCACCUUAUGCCAAUACCUGGCCAGCCUGUGUCACUCCACUUGGUUUAUACAAUACUGACAGUAGAGCAACCAUGGAAAGAAACACUGGCUCAUGCAUCCAAGCCCAAUUUUCCUGGAACUCUUGAGCCUGGAGGGAAAGACUUGCUAUUAGCUAAAGUAUGAAAGGGUAUUCUUUUAGAGUACUAUGAGCAUGGUGGCAAGGAUAGUGACAUAUGAACAGAGAACAUAAUUUUCCUCAGUUAUUUUCCACCCUUCAUUAUUCAUAUCAGCAUUUAUGUAUCUGGGGCAAGAGACCACUAUUUUUAUCCUAAGGGAGUGACAGAAAGUGGGAGAGACAGUGAAGUAAAAAGCUUUUUCUCCACCACCAACCCAAGGUUUUCCACUGGUCUAGAAUAGCAAGAGGAAGAUUAUUUUUACCUAUAUCUUCUCCUACCAACUCAUGGCCACCUUCUAUCUACCCCUCCUCUCCCUCCACACAGAGGCAAUGUGGCCGAUGGCUCCCGAUGCUGAUGGUGGUGAUUGCUACAGCACUGGCAGUGUUCCUGGCCAACAAAGACAACCUGAUGAUCUGAAUAACUUGUGACAGCUGCCUUGGGUGAAAAGCAAGGAACUCAGUGGAAAACUCAGAAAGUUUGGGUAUUUCAUAGCUUGGGUUUUUCCCCCCAACUGAACUGGAAUUCUGACUUCAUUAUUUUUUUAACCUACUGUAAAUAAACUUCACCUGUUUAGACCAUG
Long non-coding RNA from Galeopterus variegatus (Sunda flying lemur), 2688 nucleotides. RefSeq lists it as uncharacterized. The record is from RefSeq and is a predicted model, not a curated record. The transcript is spliced from 2 exons. NCBI's taxonomy places the organism in Eukaryota, Metazoa, Chordata, Mammalia, Dermoptera, Cynocephalidae.